This 484-nucleotide ribosomal RNA is filed under the name uncultured bacterium. RNAcentral's name for it is "partial 16S ribosomal RNA". It matches the Rfam family "Bacterial small subunit ribosomal RNA", at positions 30 to 507 of the family's 1533-position model. The record is from RNAcentral.
AUUGAACGCUGGCGGCAGGCCUAACACAUGCCAGUCGAGCGGAUGAAGGGAGCUUGCUCCUGGAUUCAGCGGCGGACGGGUGAGUAAUGCCUAGGAAUCUGCCUGGUAGUGGGGGAUAACGUCCGGAAACGGGCGCUAAUACCGCAUACGCCCUGAGGGAGAAAGUGGGGGAUCUUCGGACCUCACGCUAUCAGAUGAGCCUAGGUCGGAUUAGCUAGUUGGUGGGGUAAAGGCCUACCAAGGCGACGAUCCGUAACUGGUCUGAGAGGAUGAUCAGUCACACUGGAACUGAGACACGGUCCAGACUCCUACGGGAGGCAGCAGUGGGGAAUAUUGGACAAUGGGCGAAAGCCUGAUCCAGCCAUGCCGCGUGUGUGAAGAAGGUCUUCGGAUUGUAAAGCACUUUAAGUUGGGAGGAAGGGCAGUAAGUUAAUACCUUGCUGUUUUGACGGUACCAACAGAAUAAGCACCGGCUAACUUCGUG